UCCAGGCCGAAUAUCUAAGGUUUCCAGGGUAAAGCUGAUCUGCCCUGGGUAAGUCGGGGCCUAAGGCAAGGCUGAGAAGCGUAGCUGAUGGACAACAGGUUUAGAUUCCUGUACCACAUGGUAUCAGAACUGUGGGGACGCAGAGGGAUAAGAUGACCGGGGGACAGAUUCCCGGGCAAGCGCAGGAGGUGUCAGGCAGGCAAAUCCGUCUGACAAGCCAAAGGCGUGACGCGGACCGAACUAAAGUAGGGAAGCAUCUGAUUCCAGCUGCCGAGAAAAGCCGCUAUUGUGUACCAUGUGCCCGUACCGUAAACCGACACAGGUGGAUGAGGAGAGAAUCCUAAGGCCGGCGGGAGAAGCAUUGUUAAGGAACUCGGCAAAAUGACCCCGUAACUUCGGGAUAAGGGGUGCCAGAGAGAUCUGGCCGCAGAGAAUAGGCUCAAGCAACUGUUUAGCAAAAACACAGGUCUAUGCGAAACCGUAAGGUGAUGUAUAUGGGCUGACGCCUGCCCGGUGCUGGAAGGUUAAGAGGAGAGGUUAGAGCAAUCGAAGCUUUGAAUUGAAGCCCCAGUAAACGGCGGCCGUAACUAUAACGGUCCUAAGGUAGCGAAAUUCCUUGUCGGGUAAGUUCCGACCCGCACGAAAGGCGUAAUGAUUUGAGCGCUGUCUCGACAAUGCACCCGGUGAAAUUGAAAUACCAGUGAAGAUGCUGGUUACCUGCGCCAGGACGGAAAGACCCCAUGGAGCUUUACUCCAGCUUGAUACUGGGAUUCGGUAAUGCAUGCACAGGAUAGGUGGGAGGCUACGAGUACGGAACUCCGGUUUCGUAUGAGCCGCUGUUGGGAUACCACCCUUGCGUUACUGGGUUUCUAACCAUGGCCCGUGAUCCGGGUCGGGGACAAUGUCAGGUGGGGAGUUUGACUGGGGCGGUCGCCUCCGAAAGGGUAUCGGAGGCGCUCAAAGGUUCCCUCAGAAUGGUUGGAAACCAUUCGAAGAGUGCAAAGGCAGAAGGGAGCUUGACUGCGAGACCGACGGGUCGAGCAGGUAGGAAACUAGGACUUAGUGAUCCGGUGGUAUGAAAGUGGGAUUGCCAUCGCUCAACGGAUAAAAGCUACCCUGGGAUAACAGGCUUAUCACUCCCAAGAGUUCACAUCGACGGAGUGGUUUGGCACCUCGAUGUCGGCUCAUCGCAUCCUGGGGCUGAAGUAGGUCCCAAGGGUUGGGCUGUUCGCCCAUUAAAGCGGUACGCGAGCUGGGUUCAGAACGUCGUGAGACAGUUCGGUCCCUAUCCGGCGCAGGCGGAGGAUAUUUGAGAGGAGCUGUCCUUAGUACGAGAGGACCGGGAUGGACGGACCGCUGGUGUACCGGUUGAGCUGCUAAGCUCAUGGCCGGGUAGCCAAGUCUGGCAGGGAUAAACGCUGAAGGCAUCUAAGCGUGAAGCCCCCCUCAAGAUGAGAUAUCCCAUUCGAAAGAAGUAAGACCCCUUGAAGACGACGAGGUAGAUAGGGCAGAGGUGGAAGUGCAGUAAUGUACGGAGCUGACUGUUACUAAUCGGUCGAGGGCUUAUC
RNAcentral lists this ribosomal RNA (1568 nucleotides) under metagenome. Its description in RNAcentral is "bacterial LSU rRNA". It matches the Rfam family "Bacterial large subunit ribosomal RNA", at positions 1331 to 2925 of the family's 2925-position model. The record is from RNAcentral.